GACAGAGUGAGAGAGAGGGUGACUAGUGACAGAGUGAGGAAGGGGGUGACACAGUGACAGAGUGAGUGACUAGUGACAGAGUGAAGGAGGUGGUGACUGUCACUAGUCACCCCCUUCCCUCCCUCACUCUGUCACUAGUCACCCCUUCCUCACUUUGUCAC
This is a non-coding RNA of Pelobates cultripes (western spadefoot toad), 161 nucleotides long. NCBI's taxonomy places the organism in Eukaryota, Metazoa, Chordata, Amphibia, Anura, Pelobatidae. The record is from the annotation of a GenBank genome assembly.